CGAAGAAAAAAAGCCAUAUAAAUAUUAGAGUAUAAAACUUGCGUGAGACACAGGAAGAGGGUGGGGUGGGAGCUACGUGACUAUGCGAAGAGAAGCGCUUAUAGGAGAAGUCAGUACGGGGGAGGGGGUCGCCUUAGCGCGUGGACACAGCACAAAACACAACACGGGCCGCCGCGGGCAGAUCAAGGACAGACGGCUGCGCGGAGCCCGCCGCCCGCUGCCCACCCGCCAUCACGUAAAAGCACACCGCACUACACUACUGGCUAUUCUACACCAGCCGAAAGAGGGAGGGGGCGCUACACUACUGUAAGGGCAGGUCUGGGGUUCUCUGGCAGCCCCGCUGGAUGGCCGGGGACCCAGGGGCAGAAGGGGGUGGGAGAAGAAGGUCUAUGCACAAGGAGGCACUGGGGCUCCGCUGACCCUUCCACCAGUGGCACCUCUGGAGUACCCAGCACCCACAGAGGCCCCUCUGACCUCUCAAGGGGACCUGGUCCUAAACCUGCUUCGAGCUUCCUUGGACUGAAAUGCCAGUUUAAUCCAUUGGUCCUGUUAGCUCAGCCCAAAGCUGGCUGCCUGGGCUGAGCCCUAUUAUGUAGUGGGAAGGGUCCAGCCUAGUUAUUGGUUUAUGGCUGGAAUCUGGAGGAUGUUGUCAGUCCCCUGAGGACAUACAGAGCCUCCUCCAAGGCCUUGAUAACUUGAUGUGUCAAGCUUUGUCCAUGCCCCCACCAUCCACAUCCACACACUUCCCUUCCUUAUCUUACCACCCCAUACUGUCUUGGAACAUGCAGUGGAGUCUCUUGUUUGAGGAGGAGGUGGGGGAAGUCAAGGCAUGCAGUGGAAACGUCAAACAAUGAAAAACAAAACAGAAGACUGGUCCCCAGGGCGUUGGGAAGAGGCUUGGUAGCAAAAUGCCCUCCCUAAAUCCAGCAAGCAUCAGUACCAUGGGGAUGGUGAUCAUGUCCUCCAAAACUUGAGCAUUGAUCUUGGGCUCUGGAAGGAGGUGAAGGGGCUGGCACCAAACCAUGCUUUGGGGGAAGAUUGAGAAUCUUCUACAAUUACUUUACACCGUGUUGAGAGAGAUCCUCGGUCUUUUGCUUCUAUGUUUAUCGUAUAUCUUUCUACUUCUUCAAAAUCCAAAGGCUGCUGAGUUAGAAUGUUUCCUGUAGUGUAAUCCAGAGAGAACACGUGCUGAGCUUUGUCAGCCACACCAAAGAAGGAAUAAGUGAUCUCUGAGUUGAUGCCCUCGUCCUGGUCAGUGGCCUUCACUCUCAGGAUGGAGGUGCCUGGAGGCACGUCUUCCCGAAGGCUAACCCUGUACACGUCCUGGCUGAACACUGGGGGGUUGUCAUUGGCAUCUAUUACCAGGAUUCUUAUCUGAGCAGUACCGCUUCGGGGAGGGUCCCCACCAUCUAAGGCGGUCAGUACCAAGUGGUGAGCGCUCUGCGUUUCUCGGUCCAGAGUCUUCUGCAAUACUAAUUCUGGAUAUUUGCCACCAUCAGGAUUGUCUUUCUCCACCAAUGAGAAAUACUCGUUAGGACUUAGUUGGUAUUUGCUCAGCGAAUUCAUACUAAUAUCAGGAUCUUCUGCAGACUCAAGAAUUGUUCCCAUCCCCAGGCUGACGGAUUCACUGAUUUCUAAGUUUAUUUCAUCUUUCCGGAAUUGAGGGGCGUGGUCAUUAACAUCCUCAAUCACCACAAUGACAUGAAAAAUAUUUAA
RNAcentral lists this long non-coding RNA (1716 nucleotides) under Homo sapiens (human). RNAcentral's name for it is "non-protein coding lnc-DIAPH1-2:1". The record is from RNAcentral. Lineage: Eukaryota; Metazoa; Chordata; Mammalia; Primates; Hominidae.